This 238-nucleotide ribosomal RNA is filed under the name uncultured bacterium. Its description in RNAcentral is "partial 16S ribosomal RNA". It matches the Rfam family "Bacterial small subunit ribosomal RNA", at positions 118 to 350 of the family's 1533-position model. The record is from RNAcentral.
UGAGGAACAUGACCUUCGGCGGGGGAUAGCCGGCCCAACGGCCGGGUAAUACCGCGUACGACCACUUUGGGACAUCCCUAGGUGGUGAAAGCAGCAAUGCGCCGAUGGAGUGCCUCGCGGCCUAUCAGCUAGUUGGUGAGGUAACGGCUCACCAAGGCAACGGACGGGUAGCUGGUCUGAGAGGAUGGCCAGCCACAGUUGGGACUGAGACACGGCCCAGACCUCCGUACGGGGAGCA